RNAcentral lists this long non-coding RNA (395 nucleotides) under Homo sapiens (human). RNAcentral describes it as "non-protein coding lnc-AKTIP-7:1". The record is from RNAcentral. Lineage: Eukaryota; Metazoa; Chordata; Mammalia; Primates; Hominidae.
CAGUUGAGAGACUCUCCUCCCCAGACCAGCCCUAGUGUUGGUACAGGAGCAACCGACACCAAAAAGAAGAAAAUAAAUAAUGGCACUAACCCUGAGACAACCACUUCUGGUGGUUGCCACUCACCUGAGGAUGAAAAGAAGGCAAGCCACCAACAUCAGGAAGCCCUAAGGAGGGAGCUAGAGGUGAGUGGAGGGUUCAUACCAUACGAAUCCUUACAUGUCAGAAAACUGAGCUUCAGACAGCACUCUAUUACAGCCAGCAUGCUGCCAGGCAGUUGGAAGGUGGGAAUCUGAGUCCAGGGAUCUGGUCAGCUGCCUGCAUGAUUCAUGGAAGUUUGCAGGAGAGUUAGAGCGGGCUCUCUCUGCUGUCACUACACAGAAGAAGAAGGCGGACA